Molecule: ribosomal RNA, 349 nt
Filed under: uncultured soil bacterium
Lineage: Bacteria
Description: bacterial SSU rRNA
Rfam family: Bacterial small subunit ribosomal RNA
Source: RNAcentral
AGAUUGAACGCUGGCGGCAUGCCUUACACAUGCAAGUCGAACGGCAGCACGGGGGCAACCCUGGUGGCGAGUGGCGAACGGGUGAGUAAUAUAUCGGAACGUGCCCUGGAGUGGGGGAUAGCUCGGCGAAAGCCGGAUUAAUACCGCAUACGAUCUAAGGAUGAAAGUGGGGGAUCGCAAGACCUCAUGCUCCUGGAGCGGCCGAUAUCUGAUUAGCUAGUUGGUAGGGUAAAAGCCUACCAAGGCAUCGAUCAGUAGCUGGUCUGAGAGGACGACCAGCCACACUGGAACUGAGACACGGUCCAGACUCCUACGGGAGGCAGCAGGUGGGAAUUUGGACAAGUGGGGG